CACAUCCAACAUACAGGUGUAACAGAACACAUCCAACAUACAGGUGUAACAGUCACAUCCAACAUACAGGUGUAACAGAUCACAUCCAACAUACAGGUGUAACAGAUCACAUCCAACAUACAGGUGUAACAGAUCACAUCCAACAUACAGGUGUAACAGUCACAUCCAACAUACAGGUGUAACAGAUCACAUCCAACAUACAGGUGUAACAGAUCACAUCCAACAUACAGGUGUAACAGUCACAUCCAACAUACAGGUGUAACAGUCACAUCCAACAUACAGGUGUAACAGAACACAUCCAACAUACAGGUGUAACAGAUCACAUCCAACAUACAGGUGUAACAGUCACAUCCAACAUACAGGUGUAACAGAUCACAUCCAACAUACAGGUGUAACAGAACACAUCCAACAUACAGGUGUAACAGAACACAUCCAACAUACAGGUGUAACAGAUCACAUCCAACAUACAGGUGUAACAGUCACAUCCAACAUACAGGUGUAACAGAUCACAUCCAACAUACAGGUGUAACAGAACACAUCCAACAUACAGGUGUAACAGAUCACAUCCAACA
Long non-coding RNA from Oncorhynchus keta (chum salmon), 572 nucleotides. RefSeq lists it as uncharacterized. NCBI's taxonomy places the organism in Eukaryota, Metazoa, Chordata, Actinopteri, Salmoniformes, Salmonidae. The transcript is spliced from 5 exons. The record is from RefSeq and is a predicted model, not a curated record.